AAUAUGUUCAAAAUUAAUUUUUCCAUUGCUUCUGCAAUUUGGCACUUUGCAGCACUGGUUAAUAACUUGUUACGAAAAUAUUUUUUUAUUUUUCGGGUGUAAUUGGUACAUCAACUAAUAGCCAUAAUACUUUUAUGAUUCAUGUAUGCUUCUGGCGCAAAUAAAAGCUUCCGCAUGAUAUUUUUUGGCGAAAAAUCAGAAUGUAAGAUCCAUUGAUACGAGAACGUUGUUAAACAAAAAUGUGUCCUUAAAAAUGAUAUGGAAAUUAAAGGAUUAUAACUAUUUUAGGCAGAGCAGACAAAUUUCUUCUAAGAAAACGUAUUCGCAUUACCAUUGGUCGUAAAAGCGUAAUAUUUUCAUUUGGUCUUAUUCAAACAUUUUCACCUUUCAGCUUGGAUGUCAAACGUGCCGUGCCAAAGAUCGAUGCUUCCAUUUGCUCCUCUUUUCUGGGAACACGUUCCAUGGUGGUGUGUGGAUAGUUGGCAACUGGACGGAUUUGUGUGUAUAAGAAGAACCAACUAUGUGUUUUAUAAGACGGCUUUGGAGAUCAGUUUAUUGUUUUUUCGACCAGAAAAUCGGGUUCGUUUCACAAAGGACAUUGUAAGCACUUCGGAGUGAGAGAAAUGACAAAUCGAAACCACAUCCGAGGUUAUGUGAUUGAGCAACGUCGAAAAGCUCAGGAAAGAUACGAUAAUCUUUGAUGAGACGAUUUAAAAUACAAAUUAUUAUUUCGCCAGGUAAGCACUUAAAGAUUAAUUUGCUUAUGUGUUAUGACUGUUUGCAUUUACUUGUCGUGUUCGCUUUUCAUAUCAUUGCUUCGGUUUCAGAUCAUAUCUAGCACAAAAUAAUAUAUUUAUAUAUGUAUGAUGAAUUGGCAAGCACUUGAAGAUUCUUCGCCCUGUAUUGAAGCUCUUCAACUGAAGCAACUCCUCCGGCGUUAGGUGGAAAUCAAAUAUAUCCAGAUUCUCGACGA
Molecule: long non-coding RNA, 973 nt
Organism: Drosophila erecta
Lineage: Eukaryota; Metazoa; Arthropoda; Insecta; Diptera; Drosophilidae
Exons: 3
Source: RefSeq, a predicted model, not a curated record